GGUGGGGGGGAGGUCCCUCAGCCCAGAUUACGAGAGGGCACAGGCCAGGCUGAGGGAUCCCAACGGUGCAGG
RNAcentral lists this microRNA precursor (72 nucleotides) under Myotis brandtii (Brandt's bat). RNAcentral describes it as "mir-9193 microRNA precursor family". It matches the Rfam family "mir-9193 microRNA precursor family". The record is from Rfam by way of RNAcentral. Lineage: Eukaryota; Metazoa; Chordata; Mammalia; Chiroptera; Vespertilionidae.